This 299-nucleotide signal recognition particle RNA is filed under the name Saimiri boliviensis boliviensis (Bolivian squirrel monkey). RNAcentral describes it as "Metazoan signal recognition particle RNA (ENSSBOG00000016464.1)". It matches the Rfam family "Metazoan signal recognition particle RNA". From Rfam's summary of the family: The signal recognition particle (SRP) is a universally conserved ribonucleoprotein. Lineage: Eukaryota; Metazoa; Chordata; Mammalia; Primates; Cebidae. The record is from RNAcentral.
GCUGGGCAUGGUGGCGCAUGCCUGUAGUCCCAGUGACUCAGGAGGCUGAGGUGGGAGGAUCGCUUGAGCCCAGGAGUUCUGGGCUGCAGUGUGCUAUGCCGAUCGGGUGUCCGCACUAAGUUCGGCAUCAAUAUGGUGACCUCCCGGGAGUAGGGGACCACCAGGUUGCCUAAGGAGGGGUGAACCGGCUCAGGUCGGAAACGGAGCAGGUCAAAACUCCCGUGCUGAUCAGUAGUGGGAUCGCACCUGUGAAUAGCCACUGCACUCCAGCCUGGGCAACAUAGCGAGACCCUGUCUCU